Non-coding RNA from Manis javanica (Malayan pangolin), 888 nucleotides. The record is from RefSeq and is a predicted model, not a curated record. NCBI's taxonomy places the organism in Eukaryota, Metazoa, Chordata, Mammalia, Pholidota, Manidae.
CUCUCCUCCCAUCUGGCUGACGCCAGGCUGCAAUCAUUGCUCAUCCAUCUUGGCACCAGGGCAGAGCAGAAGGCCUGCAAAGCCCAGAUGUCCGAAUGUUUAUGGAGUUGAACGACGGCGCACCGGGACAGCAGGCCCAGCGUUCUGUAUGUUUUUGAACAGACAAAACGGAAAAGGGUGAAUGUGUUUCCCAUCCAGUCUGGUUGGGCUCUGGUUGCCAGUGGCCGACAGAGGAGACGCCUCACCUGAGCCAUGUUGACUGGGUCCUGGGCUGCACAGGACAGCCCCUCCCCUGGCUUCUUCUGUGUCCCUGAGCAACAUGGAGAUUCUGUUCUGCCGACUUGCGGCCCUGAUCCAGCACACACAGGGCCCAGGCACUUGGCACACGGAACGCUGACCACUGAGCUCCCCGAGCAGAGGGUGGUCUCGGCACCAGCGCAGGCCCCGGGCUCCUCCUGUGGCGCACAACACGGGAGGCCUUCGCGAGACAUCAGCAAAGAUGAUCAUGUCACACAUGACAGGAAGAAACCCAGCCCCAGAGGUGUUGGUCAAGUAUUCAAGGCCAGAGGCUGACAGAAGAGCAGGCCCACUCGGCCGGCCUGGACUGUGAACUGAUGGUAGAUAAACGGGUUUUCACCCCGUGGCAGCUCGUGGGGAAUUUAGUUAAAUUCUCCUGUCAAGGUGAUUAUUGGUUGCGAAAUUAUAUUAAUACAGUUUCUGAUAUUGAAUACCUUUUGCCCCUGAAAUAAACCAGCUUUGUCUUAAUGAAUUAAUGUUUCAAGAUACAUUGGAUUAUUUAUUAAUAAGUAUCUUAUUUCAGAUUUUUGUCUUUAUAGUUUCAGAGUUUGAUAUUGUCAGAUUGGGUAACUGGGUAACACUCACUUUAUG